This 346-nucleotide long non-coding RNA is filed under the name Salvia miltiorrhiza (redroot sage). Its description in RNAcentral is "long non-coding RNA (SMIL_LNC002416)". Lineage: Eukaryota; Viridiplantae; Streptophyta; Magnoliopsida; Lamiales; Lamiaceae. The record is from RNAcentral.
UUUUUCUGAAGCAUACUUGUUUGGUUUCAUGAUGCUCUAUUACUCUGGUUUCUUAUCAUCCCUCUCUCCACCAAAUUUAUUAGGCUUGGCCUUUUGUUAUUGUUCUUUGUGUUUCUUUUGGUUCCUGGUAGUGGUAAUACAGAUCAUUGCAAAGAUACUGAAAGGUACUUUUUCAUGGUUGGCCAAGAAAUAACUUCCCAAUUCUGGUGCCCCCAGUUAGCUUCAGUGAACGAGAAUCGGGAGUAAUUACUGCCGCCUUUUGGUUAUUACAUCUAACUAAUGUUAUAUAUUUGUUUUUGGAGGUGAAUUUGCGUUAAUCACUCUUUUAUGUCUGUUUGUAUUUGUG